Molecule: non-coding RNA, 24 nt
Filed under: Arabidopsis thaliana (thale cress)
Lineage: Eukaryota; Viridiplantae; Streptophyta; Magnoliopsida; Brassicales; Brassicaceae
Source: RNAcentral
CUUUGGAUACCCACUAUCAGGUGA